Molecule: long non-coding RNA, 1391 nt
Organism: Poecile atricapillus (Black-capped chickadee)
Lineage: Eukaryota; Metazoa; Chordata; Aves; Passeriformes; Paridae
Exons: 3
Source: RefSeq, a predicted model, not a curated record
UUGUCGGGUUUUGGCUGAUGCCCUGCAAAGAUCAGCUGCUGAUUUUCUGUUUUAUUUAUUGUAGCUGACCGAGAGACGGCAGCCUGGCGAUGGCAGGAACUUCCCAGAUGGCGAGGCGGCCUUCCUUGGUGCUCCAUGUUGAUCCACCCUGCCGGGCAUCUGAGAGCUAAGUCGAAGGCUAUGAAUUGCAGAGGGGAUGAAAGCGUGACCUGGGAUUAUGGAGUCAGCUUUGUUGAUGGGGAGGUCCAGGCUGUGGCCCCUUAGGCCACGUGAAGGGAGAGCCUCACAUUUGUUCACAGUGCUGAGGUGCGCAGGACAGAGCAGUCCCGGGGCGUGUCCCAUCACUUGUCCAUCGUGCCUUCUGUGUCUUUUGUGCCUCUCGUGUUGUACGUGCCUCGCCUUAUCUCUUCUGGGGGCUUACCAGAAACCCCAGCAUCACUCCUCGCAUCUCUGAUCUCUGGGCUCCUCAGCCCGACACCAUCGAAGCUUUGCCUCUGGAGCUCUCAGAGGUCUUGGAAUCGCGUUUCUCUUGAAAAGCAUCCGAUCGGAUGUCUUUUAGAGGUCUCGUUCCGAGCUGUGUCGACAGCCGUGCGCCGCGAGGAUCCAUUGCUGCGGCUUAGGUCUUGAAGAAACGCAGAGAUAGGUAGGGGGCUGUGGCCCUCAGAUUCUCGGGCAUCCGUCUUGGCAGUUGCUGGAGUUUGUCAUUCCAUCAGCAUCUUCUUCCUCCCGGGUUCUGCGAGCUUCAUCAGCUCGCCUUCAUUCUCACCCGGCUCAUCUUGUUCCGCGUUCUCUCGGUCCUCGCGGCCGUUCUUGUGGCCCAGAGUUUUGUCUCCCCGUUGUGUCCCCUCGUCUGUUGUCUUGUGUGUCACGGGUGUCUGGGUGUAGUUGUCCCGGAGCUGCUCUGCCCUGCUGCCCAGCCUGGGUGUAGGUGUAAAAGGCCGAGUCCUAGGCCCCUGUAAUUUGAAAUUUGUCAUGUAGGGUGUAGUUGGAGUCUAGCGGGUGUUCCUAGAUUGACACAAGAUGUGUGGAGCUGUAAAGUUACCCUGCAGCACUUUGACUUUUGUCUCAGCUUUCUUUCAGAUGCGGACGGAUGAAAUCGGUGGCAGAGCGCCCCAUCCAGGGUAAGGGGGUUCCCGCGAGAAGGAAGUAGAGCCAGCUGGCAGCAGUCAAGGCGAAGUGGGCAAGGCGGUCCAGUCGCGUUUCCCCGAGACCCCCUCGCCAACCGGCCGGCACAGCUGCUUCGCCGCUCCCGUGAGCCCUACGGAAGCGUUAUGGAACCGUGUGACGGAGCCUUUUCCACGUAAAGGGGCUGUGUGGGUGGCCUUCAGGAAGGGGCCGAGGGGUUGCCGUGAGUUGGGGAUGUCGGGAGGAGGAGCGAGGGUCCCUUUGAG